Molecule: long non-coding RNA, 451 nt
Filed under: Homo sapiens (human)
Lineage: Eukaryota; Metazoa; Chordata; Mammalia; Primates; Hominidae
Description: HSALNT0149678
Source: RNAcentral
GAAUUAUGGGGGCAGGUCUUUCCUGUGCUGUUCUCGGGAUAGUGAAAAAGUCUCACAAGAUCUGAUGGUUUUAAAAAGGUGAGUUUCCCUGCAUAAUCUCUCUUCUCCUGUCUGGUUCCAUGUGAGAUGUGCCUUUUGCCUUCCGCCAUGAUUGUGAGGCCUCCCCAGCCAUGUGGAACCGCCCAUAGGUGGAAGGGACUUGCCUUGUCUCAGAUGAGACUUUGGACUUCGGACUGUGGACUUUUGAGUUAACACUGAAAUGAAUUAAUGCUGAAAUGAAUUAAGACUUUGGGAGACGGUUGAGAAGCCAUGACUCAUUUUAAAAUGUGAGACAUGCCUUUCACCUUCUGCCAUGAUUGUGAGGCCUCUCCAGCCAUGUGGAACUUGAGAAGGAAAGAGUAUCAGUGCAUAUUGUCAAGUGAAGAAAGCAAGCUCCAGAACAAAGCCUAUG